Molecule: RNA transcript, 1525 nt
Organism: Camellia sinensis
Lineage: Eukaryota; Viridiplantae; Streptophyta; Magnoliopsida; Ericales; Theaceae
Gene name: COP9 signalosome complex subunit 7
Source: RefSeq, a predicted model, not a curated record
GCACCUCAACUAUAAAUACAGAACAAAAAGUGAAACCACCCACAGGGCAACAAGCAACUCUCUCUGUCAGGCGAAUUCGUGAACAACACUUGCUCACAAUUUCAAAACCCUAAAAACCCUCGAAUCACUACACCACUGAUUUCUUUCUAUAGUAAUCGAAUCUAAAACCUCUAGUUUCAUCUCUCAAUUCAAUGUUCUCUAACCCUUUUUGUACCUAAAUUUUAUUAUUUAAUUUGAUUUUUUUGAGAUUGUUUUGGUUGUGAAAUUCAAAGAUGGACAUCGAACACAGACAAGCAGAGCACAUCGAUUACUUCGUCAAGCAAGCUUCGAUCCAGAAGGGCGUCUCUGUCGCAAACGUCGUCGUUGAAGCCACUUCGCACCCUUCUCUCUUCGCUUUCUCGGAGAUUCUCUCCGUUCCAAACGUUCUCGAGCUCCAAGGAACUGAGCACUCUGUAUACCUUGAUCUGCUUCGUUUGUUUGCCCAUGGCACGUGGAGUGACUACAAGAGUAAUGCUAGUCAUCUUCUGCAGUUGGUGCCUGAUCAAAUUCUGAAGCUUAAGCAACUUACUGUGCUCACACUGGCCGAGACAGACAAGAUUUUGCCCUAUGAUGUACUGAUGCAGGAGUUAGAUAUUACAAAUGUACGUGAACUUGAAGAUUUUCUUAUCAAUGAGUGCAUGUAUGUGGGCAUAGUCAGAGGGAAGUUAGAUCAGUUGCGAAGAUGCUUUGAGGUUCAAUUUGCAGCAGGCAGGGAUCUGAGACCUGGGCAACUGGGGAGUAUGAUACAAACAUUAUCAAACUGGUUGACUACAUCAGAUAAUCUUCUUAUCACAAUUCAAGAGAAGAUAAAAUGGGCGGAUACCAUGAGUGAGUUGGACAAGAAGCACAGAAAGGAAGUGGAAGAGAGGGUUGAUGAAAUAAAGAAGUCACUCUCCUUGAAGGUCAGAAGUUACACACUGUAAGCAGGCCGACAUUGACUUCCGAGGGCAUGAGGAAAUCUUCUCUGAACCUGGUGGAGUGAUGGACUAUGAGGAAGAGCGAAGCCGCCCCAAGAGGAGGCGGCAUCCAUUAGCUUGAACAGAUAGAAUUCGACCCAAUAGGAAGCCGUUUUUUGUUCAUGGCAUUCCAACGACAACAAAUGAUUGCUGGUUUUUGAUAUUGACGACUCUUUGGAUAAUUUUUUUCCCUGCAAUUUUUAGACUCGAAUAUUUGACAGUUCGUUUGUAUUGGAACGUCAUUAUUAUUAGUUUGAGUUAGCAAAGAUCAGAUUGGAUUUGGAAGUGCAGCUGAGAAAGUUAUGGACCUAGAAUGUUAUUUAUAAAAAAAAAAAAGGUGGGGGAAGAAAAAGUUUUGGUGCUAAUAAGCAAAUGAUAGUUUUGAGUCAUUGUGCUUCAUGUUGAUGCACAUUAUUCUACCUUGUUCAGCUGUGGUAAUUACUAUUUCAAUGGAUGCAUAUUCUUUUAUUUUACAGGAAGAUUGGGAUUGCCACAAAAUUUGAUGGGUCCUAUCUAUCUUGCUUCAUAUU